AUACGGAGGAUGCGAGCGUUAUCCGGAUUUAUUGGGUUUAAAGGGUGCGUAGGUGGUAAUUUAAGUCAGCGGUGAAAGUUUGUGGCUCAACCAUAAAAUUGCCGUUGAAACUGGGUUACUUGAGUGUGUUUGAGGUAGGCGGAAUGCGUGGUGUAGCGGUGAAAUGCAUAGAUAUCACGCAGAACUCCAAUUGCGAAGGCAGCUUACUAAACCAUAACUGACACUGAAGCACGAAAGCGUGGGUAUCAAACAGGAUUAGAUACCCUGGUAGUCCACGCAGUAAACGAUGAUUACUAGGAGUUUGCGAUACACGGUAAGCUCUACAGCGAAAGCGUUAAGUAAUCCACCUGGGGAGUACGCCGGCAACGGUGAAACUCAAAUGAAUUGGCGGGG
This 393-nucleotide ribosomal RNA is filed under the name uncultured bacterium. RNAcentral describes it as "partial 16S ribosomal RNA". It matches the Rfam family "Bacterial small subunit ribosomal RNA", at positions 523 to 918 of the family's 1533-position model. The record is from RNAcentral.